ACGUAGGGUGCAAGCGUUAAUCGGAAUUACUGGGCGUAAAGCGUGCGCAGGCGGUUAUAUAAGUCAGAUGUGAAAUCCCCGGGCUCAACCUGGGAACUGCAUUUGAGACUGUAUGGCUAGAGUGUGUCAGAGGGGGGUAGAAUUCCACGUGUAGCAGUGAAAUGCGUAGAUAUGUGGAGGAAUACCGAUGGCGAAGGCAGCCCCCUGGGAUAACACUGACGCUCAUGCACGAAAGCGUGGGGAGCAAACAGGAUUAGAUACCCUGGUAGUCCACGCCCUAAACGAUGUCUACUAGUUGUCGGGACUUAAUUGUCUUGGUAACGCAGCUAACGCGUGAAGUAGACCGCCUGGGGAGUACGGUCGCAAGAUUA
This 371-nucleotide ribosomal RNA is filed under the name uncultured bacterium. Its description in RNAcentral is "bacterial SSU rRNA". It matches the Rfam family "Bacterial small subunit ribosomal RNA", at positions 525 to 896 of the family's 1533-position model. The record is from RNAcentral.